GAUGAACGCUGGCGGCGUGCCUAAUACAUGCAAGUCGAGCGAACAGACGAGGAGCUUGCUCCUCUGACGUUAGCGGCGGACGGGUGAGUAACACGUGGAUAACCUACCUAUAAGACUUGGAUAACUUCGGGAAACCGGAGCUAAUACCGGAUAAUAUAUUGAACCGCAUGGUUCAAUAGUGAAAGACGGUUUUGCUGUCACUUAUAGAUGGAUCCGCGCUGCAUUAGCUAGUUGGUAAGGUAACGGCUUACCAAGGCAACGAUGCGUAGCCGACCUGAGAGGGUGAUCGGCCACACUGGAACUGAGACACGGUCCAGACUCCUACGGGAGGCAGCAGUAGGGAAUCUUCCGCAAUGGGCGAAAGCCUGACGGAGCAACGCCGCGUGAGUGAUGAAGGUCUUCGGAUCGUAAAACUCUGUUAUUAGGGAAGAACAAAUGUGUAAGUAACUAUGCACGUCUUGACGGUACCUAAUCAGAAAGCCACGGCUAACUACGUG
RNAcentral lists this ribosomal RNA (497 nucleotides) under uncultured bacterium. RNAcentral's name for it is "partial 16S ribosomal RNA". It matches the Rfam family "Bacterial small subunit ribosomal RNA", at positions 28 to 507 of the family's 1533-position model. The record is from RNAcentral.